This 119-nucleotide ribosomal RNA is filed under the name Theobroma cacao (cacao). Lineage: Eukaryota; Viridiplantae; Streptophyta; Magnoliopsida; Malvales; Malvaceae. The record is from RNAcentral.
AGGUGCGAUCAUACCAGUAUUAAAGCAAUGGAUCCCAUUUGAACUCCACAAUUAAGCGUGCUUGGGUGAAAGUAAUACUAAGAUGAGUGACCUCUUGAGAAGCCUUCGUGUUGCACCUU